This 433-nucleotide ribosomal RNA is filed under the name uncultured bacterium. RNAcentral describes it as "bacterial SSU rRNA". It matches the Rfam family "Bacterial small subunit ribosomal RNA", at positions 29 to 507 of the family's 1533-position model. The record is from RNAcentral.
AACGAACGCUGGCGGCAUGCCUAACACAUGCAAGUCGAACGAAGGCUUCGGCCUUAGUGGUGCACGGGUGCGUAACGCGUGGGAACCUGCCCCUCGGUUCGGAAUAACAGUUAGAAAUGACUGCUAAUACCGGAUGAUGACUUCGGUCCAAAGAUUUAUCGCCGAGGGAUGGGCCCGCGUAGGAUUAGCUAGUUGGUGGGGUAAAGGCCUACCAAGGCGACGAUCCUUAGCUGGUCUGAGAGGAUGAUCAGCCACACUGGGACUGAGACACGGCCCAGACUCCUACGGGAGGCAGCAGUGGGGAAUAUUGGACAAUGGGCGAAAGCCUGAUCCAGCAAUGCCGCGUGAGUGAUGAAGGCCUUAGGGUUGUAAAGCUCUUUUACCAGGGAUGAUAAUGACAGUACCUGGAGAAUAAGCUCCGGCUAACUCCGUG